UACAGAGGUCCCCAAAGCGUUUGUUCCGGGAUUCACUGGGCGUAAAAGGGUGCGCAGGUGGUUUGGCAAGUUUUGACGUGAAAGCCCCCGGGCUUAACCCGGGAAUGGCGUUUGAAAACUGCUUGAACUGGAGGGUUGGGAGGGGGACGUGGAAUUCUUGGUGUAGCAGUGAAAUGCGUAGAUAUCAAGAGGAACACCAGUGGCGAAGGCGAGUCCCUGGACAAUACCUGACACUGAGGCACGGAAAGCCCAAGGGAGCAAACAGG
RNAcentral lists this ribosomal RNA (266 nucleotides) under uncultured bacterium. RNAcentral describes it as "partial 16S ribosomal RNA". The stretch from base 29 to 266 matches the Rfam family "Bacterial small subunit ribosomal RNA", at positions 547 to 776 of the family's 1533-position model. The record is from RNAcentral.